GAUUUUAAUUGAUUAAAGAGUUCUGGGAUGGGAUAUAAAAAAGAGGUCUUGAAUCAGAUUUGAGGAGAAGAACAGAAAGAAGGAGAGAACAAGAGAAUAGAAUAAGAGAGAAUAAAAAAAUGGACAGAUAGAGAGAGAGAGAAAAAAGGGCUGAAUAUUUAAGAGAGAGAAAAAUUCCGAAAAAUAUUAAAACUUUCAAAUAAAAAAGAACUAAAAAAAUCUUCUGCUUUCUUUCAUUGUUUGAAAUCAUCAUUAAUUGUUGUUGUUUCAUCAAAGCUUGAAGCUUUUGUUUUUGGGAUUACUGCUCCACUGGUUUGCAAACUCUGUUCCUGGGUUGUUACUGUUGCUGGACUGUUGUUGCUGUGCUGUAUUGUUAUUACUGCUGCUGAUUCUCAUCUUCAUUUUCUUUUGCUUCCAAUAUCAGGUACACAACUGACACGCUGGUUAUUGUAAACUGAAACAUGUAGCAUGAAUAUGAAAAUGAAGAGUUGAAGUUCCAGAUUUAUUUUAAUUACAUUCUAAAUUUUAUUUGUAUAUAUAGAUUUAUUUAGCUUACUAUAAUCAGAAUCAUGUAGCUGUUUAACAUCAGAUGAUAGCUUAACGGACGAACUAUCUAUAUAUUGCCUAAAAAUAAAUAAAUAGUGUAGUAAAUUCGUCUAGUUAAUUCGCUAUUGUUGGAUGAUUACCAUGUCUCAAAAAGCACGUUAGUUCAUCAAAAUAGACCAUUUUGGAACUUGGAGGAAUGUUGUUUAAUUAAAUAUUAUUGGUUAAUUUCAGCAUGUAAAUAAAUUAAUACAUUUUUUUUAUUUUAUUUUGUAGAGAUAAACUUAAUAGAGAAUAAUGUAGGCAUUUUAGGAUUGUCUUUUAAAAAUAAAUGAGAUGAGCCUCGCCCAAUAAAAUGCACCAAUUGUGGGGCCCUCAAUAAAUGUUUAAUUGAGUAUUUAGAAUUCGGGAUGGACUGUUUUAGUGAAUUCCACAGUCUUACCCAUAAAUAAUAGUACGCUAAUCGCUUUAGGCACGAUUUUAAUAAUAAUACAUUCUUAAACACGGGUGUGCAUUUAUGCGACCCAAAUCCAGAUCCCAAAACAUUGAAUAAAAAUACAUUCCGGAUCGCGGGUGUAUUUUAUGUGACGCAAUCCAAAGACAUGUUUUUAAACGAUGUUCACAUUUUUAAAAAAAUAUAAUGAUAAAAGCGGUAAAGAGUUAAAACUUGCACAUGAGCGCAUAAUUGUAUAAAAUCAGAUAAACAAGCCGAAUAUGACAGUUGAGCGACCGUGCUAGAACCACGGAACUCGGGAAUGUCUAACACCUUCUCCCGGGUUAACAGAAUUCCUUAUCCGGAUUUCUGGUUCGCGGACUGUAGUACAGAGUCAUUCUUUUCCUCGGUUCGGGAUUAAAAUAGGUGACUUGGGACACCCUAAAUCUCCCAAGUGGCGACUCUGAAAUAAAUAAAUAAAUUCCGUUUUGAUUGUCCUUUAAUUGGAAAAACUCUUUCCGCCCUCGCGGGGGCGGAAGAAGGAGGUGUGACAGGGAUAUCAGGUUAUGACAAUAAUAAAGUAAAGUGACAAAGUAAAUAUCAAGCUAGGAGCAAUGGAAAUGAUAACACAGUAACAAGUGCAUGGAAUCACCCUUCGUUCUUUACUAUCAUUCUCACCAUAGAAAUCAACAGAAACGACACGACAUCACCCUUAGUUCUUUUACUCUCCCAUAAUCAUGGCACGACAUCAACCUUCGUGCUUUUACUUUAAAUAAUAUGGCACGACAUCACCCUUUGUGCAUUAACACUCAUAAUAUCGGCACAACAUCACCCUUUGUGCAUUAACACUCACUUACAAUAUCAUACACGGCAUCUCCCUUCGUGCUUUACACUUUUCCUCACCCAAACAAAUGAAAUGAUAGCAUCACGGCAAGAGAAUCAACAAUAGAAACAUCAAUAGAGACAAUACCGUCCCAGCAAGGGAGUCAACAAUAGAAACAAUAUUAUCCUAGCAAGGGAAUCAACUAUAACCAAUCUAGUUGCAACAGUUACUUCACAAAAUAAACUCCAACUUGAGCCAAUACUCGACACUGGUCAAUUACCAAACAUUUAUCAUAAGUCUUGUUCCAUAGUGCUAAUCAUCAAUUGAUGCAUGAACAUCACAUAAUAAAAUCACAAUAAUUAUAAUAUAAGACUCACGGGCAUGCUUGAUACCAAUGUAUAGAUACUGGUCACCUCACCUAUACGUCAUAUUCGACACUAACACAUAGGAAAUAAGACACAACACCUAUUUCCUCAAGCUAAGGUUAGACCAAAUACUUACCUCGGAUUCCACAGCAAAACUCAAGCCUCAAAUACCACUCUCUCUCUAGAUUUCGCCUCCAAUUCACUUGUAUAUAGUCAUAAUUAACUUAACAACAUUAGUAAAUGCUAAAGAAUUCAACUCCAAUGCUUAAUUAUAGAUUUUCUAUCAUUUUCCCCAAAAAGCCCAAAAAUCGACCGCGAGCCCGCUUGGUCAAAACUCGAGGUUCAGACCAAAACUCGGAUACCCAUUCACCCACAAGCCCAAAUAUGCAAUUAGUUUCAGAAUCCGAUCCCAAAUCGAGGUCAAAAUCCCCAAAUUUCUAAAAUCCCCAAUUCUCUUUAAAUCCCUAAUUUCUACCCUUAAAGAACAAGAUUUAGGCCUAGAAAUCUAAUGGAUGUUGAUGGAAAAUGAAAGAAAUGAGUUCAAGAACACAUACCUAUGAUUUGGUGUUGAAAUUUCUCUUCAAAAAUCGCCCUAGUUCGGAUUCUAUGGAAGGAUAUAUGAGAUUAUGGCAUAUUCCCGUUUUAAUUAUGUUUUAAAAAGAUUGGGCAGGCCUUCUUCGCGUUCGCGAAGGGCCUGCCGCGUUCGCGAAGAGCUGCCUUGCUCAGGCUUACGCGAUCGCGAGAUAUUCCACUUGUUCGCAAAGGGUAUGCCUCGCUAGCCUUCGCAUUUGCGGACCAAUGUACAUGUUCGCGUAGAAGAAAGGAUCGAUUCCCCAGCCCACCUCCAUUACACUACGCAUUCGCGUGUGGCCAGUCACAUUCGCGAAGAGCAAACCUCCCAGUGCUCUGCGUUCGCGACCAAGGCCUCGCAUUCGCGUAGAAGAAAUCCCUCCCCAGCAAGCUUGUACUUCGCAUUCGUGUAAGCUGCAUCGUGAACGCGAAGAACAAAAUCUCAGAAUACCAAAAGAAGCAAAACAACAGAAGUUCUUAAGUCCAAAACAUCCCGAAACCUAUCCGAAACUCACCCGAGCCCUCGGGGCUCCAAACCAAACAUGCACACCAACCUAAUAACAUCAUACAGACUUACUCGUGCAAUCAAAUCGCCAAAUUAACACCUAGAACUACGAGUUUAUCAUCAAAAUCAAAGAAAAAUCUCAAGAACUCUUAAAGUUUCCAGUUUCACAACCGAGGGUCCAAAUCGCGUCAUAUGAAUUCCAUUUCUUACCAAAUUUUACAUGCUUAACUUAAAUACCAUAACAAAUAUGUACCGGACUUCGGAACCAAAAUACGGGCCCGAUACCAUCAAACUCAAACAACGUUAAAUUUCCAAAAACUCUUAUAUUUUCAGUUAAACAAUUUCUUUCAAAAAUUCAUUUCUCGGGCUAGAGACCUCAGAAUUCAAUUUCGGGCAUAUGCUCGAGUCUCAUAUUUUUCUAGGGACCCUCCAGGACCGUCAUAUCACGGGUCCGGGUCCGUUUACCCAAAAUAUUGACCGAAGUCAACUUAAAUUCAAUUUUAAAGGCAAAAUUAGCAUUUUUCUCAAAUUUUGACACAAAGGCUUUCCGAAUAUAUGUCCGGACUGCGCCCGCAGAUCAAGAAGAAAAAAAAUGAGGUCUUGAAGGCAUCGGAGCCCCGGAUUAGGUUCUAAAACACUAGAUGACCUUUUGGGUUAUCAUACAAUCUAUCACAUAAAACUACUAAAGAAACUAAACUUGGAAAUUCAAGUAAUGUGGUUCAACAUAUAAUAAGGUUUCACACAAGUUUUCUAGGAACUUUAGACCAAUUGUUUGAGACCGGAAGAAAUUGAACUACUUGUAAAAAAAAAAAGCUCUUAUUACAAAAAUGUAGACACUUGCUCUAAAGGUGUCCAGAAGGUUACACCACAAGUUCACACAAAAAACAAAUGGUAUAAAAUUGAAGAAAAGCUAAUUUAUAAAAAAUAUUAUGACCAAACAUUAGACACUUGGUCUGAAGUCGUCCAGAGACAAUAAAAUUUUCCAUUCUUUCGGUUUGAAAAGCAUUGUAUAACAAGGACAAGAUAUAAAUAAUGGCCUCAAAUAUUUAUUCACGAGUAGGAACUAAACCUGCUAUUGAUCUCAAUGUUAAGUUAAUCAAAGUACGUAGCAUACUUUUGGAACUUUAGGGAUAAAUAAUACUCUAUUCAAUAAGCACCCUUGCGGCUUUUAUUUCCAUCAAGUAUUUGGUGUAAACAUGCAUCGUGUUUGCAAUUAAACCAAACAUUGUAAAUUCACUUCUUCUUUUUUUCUUUAUGGUAACAAUGUAAAUAUUACCAUUAACACCAAACUCCAAUACACUUACGGAGCACCAAAAAUUCCAUAUUCACCUUCCACAAAGGGUACAAUAAAAUGUAGGCCUCCAAUAGAGCAAACUAUACAAGAAGUUUCUGAAGUAAUCUAUGAUAGCAACGUGCUAAAUAGUUAAUUUCUAUUUAGAGGCUUUUAAAUAGAAGAAGUUUUGUUUGAUUAUCUCAUAUGAAGUAGUGUUUCACUCACAAAAGUUUAACUUCUUAUUCAAGUAAAAUUUAAGUCAAACAAAAUUUCAAACUUCUUUCCAACUUCAACUUUAACUUCAAAUAUUGAUUUUUUAAAUUUAAACCAAAUAUUAUCUACAAAAUAGAUUAUUCAAAAUUUAUGUACCAAAGAAAGACUAAAAACUUUUGUUCAAGGACUAAAAUAUUAUCAAUUCAAAAUCAAAAUUGCCACACUCUCUCUUCAAAGUGGAAUAAAUAAUUUUAUGACUUUUCAAGAGACCUUUAAAGUUAUUCAUCAAGACAGUAAAAGUAUCUCACCUCAAAAAAUAAAUAUAGGUCAAAUAUUUCUUUCUGAAGCCGUAAUGCCUCUUCCGAAUUAAAAUAGUAGUGAUUACUAUUAGUGGAUAAUAUUACCAGUAUGUUACUGCUAAACAACAUCCAUGUUUCAACCACCACUUGCCAAUAUUGAAAAAUAUCAAAAAGUAAAAUUUGUAAAGAAUUUUAAUUAGAAUGUAAAGGAAUGUAGGCAGCACUUUUGCCAAGGAUAGUAAUUUUCCUAGAUUGUGCAAAUAGUGUAACAAAAACUCGAUACUCAAGAUAUAAUGCCUACUAAAGAUAUUAAAUUUCUAUUGUUUAAUAUAUAAUUUCUUCUACCAUAAGAAUUCAUGAAAAAAAGUUUGAAUUGAAACAUAAGAUUUAAGAAAGAAGAAUAAAUAUAUUCUUCAACAUUAAUGAAGAAUCAUAGAAUGUUUUUAAGAAGAAGUAUUUUUCUCAUAUCUUUUAUUUACUUCAAAUAAAAGCCUCUAAAUAGAAAUUAACUAUUUAGCAAUGGUUGAACAAAUGUAAACUAAAUUCUUAAAGUAAUUACAAUUAUAACAUGUGUUGAUUACUAGUUCUGGAUGCCAAAAAUCGGCGGUACCCUUCAAUUACAUAUUGAUGUCCGCAUGAUAUCAGUUGUGCCAAUACUACAUAUAUAUACUCAUUUCUCUAUAGAAGAGAGUUGUAAGUUGCAGACAAUACCUAUCGGCAAAUGAAAGAAAGAGGAUAAGCACCACCGUAAUUGAUUCAAUUAUUCGUUUUUCAUUUUAAAUUUUUAGGUUGUUACCAUGACGUGUGGUUGAUCAAAUGUGAAGGAAUACAUAUUUUUGUUGAAGUUUAAUAACAAAAAGGGAUUAUACAGGUUUUGUGGGAAGUGAAAGAUUGUAGGUGGGAUUUACAUAUAGGAGGGUUGUACCUGAUUUUUGUUCAUUGUAAAUGAGUGCAUGAAAAGUCACGGCUAAAAAGACUUUUCUUAGUAAUGUGAAACGUUGUAACAUACACAACCUUUUAGAAUAAUUUUGUUCUUCUUUUUAUUUAAAUAUUAUAAUUUUUUUAAAAAUAAGCAGGAUAAUUACAUUUUUAAAAAGGGUAAAAAAGUAAUUUAACUUGUGACUUAAGGGCUUCCCACUUUUAGUAUAGUAUAGAUAGAUAUAGAUAUAGAUAGAUAAAUAUUCAUUAGACAUAAUUUUUGCAUAACUUUUGCCCAAAAGAGAGAAUGAAGCCGCCGUGGAGGUCCGAGUUCAUCAAAUUUUAUCUUUUCUUCCUCCAACCUUAAUAAUUUUUAUGUUUCUUUGAAUGAUUUAUUGUUGGCUAUCUUGGGGUUAAUUUCAUAAAUGGUCAUAUAACUAUGUCGUUUUUUCACUAAAGUCAUAUAACUUUGUUUCUCACACAAAAGUCAUAUAACUAUGACUUUUUUUCACUAAAGUCAUAUAACUUUGUCUUGUCACACAAAAAUCAUAUAACUGUGAUUUUUUUUUAAUACCAAAAUUAUAUAAUUAUGUUUUCUCACACAAAAAUCAUAAAACUUUUACUAACUCACACAAAAAUCACAGUAAUCGAAAAAUAUAAUUUUUCACUAGUAUUUUCUUAUUUUGUAGAUUUUUAUUUCUUAUUUUUAGCCUAAUAAAUAAUAGAAAUUUUUACCUCCUAUAGCAAAGGUUAACACCUUAUUUAUUUUAAGUAAAAACCAUUUAAAAAAAUUAUAUUCUAUAGAUACCUUUUAAUAUUUAUAGCAAAAUAUUUAAGUUUGGUUACCUCCUAACCCUAAGUCACUAAAUACGCUAUUCAGUUAUUUUCUUUGUCUCUCUCUAUUUUGAUACGCUAUUCAAUAAUGAACCGGACUCACACAAACUCUGCUUCACCGGCGUGGAAUUAAGCAAAUCAUCAUCACUUAGUAGGUCAAGAAUGGCAUCCUUGCCUCUUUUGGACUUGGCAUUUCUUGAAGAAAAACGAGAUUCUAAAAAAGACGACAACAUCCUUAUUUUCUGAUCAGAUUUAGAAGGACUUUUAGAUCCAUUAUCACCUUCUGAAUUUAGACCAACACUUUUUUCCUCCUCAUCACACUCGGCAACACUUCAGAUUAGAACUGCUGGUGUAGCUGACUUUAAUGUUGAUUCACUAGUUUCAGGCCCGUAUCAACAACUUCUUUUUCUUGCUCAUUAGAUACAUUCUCAAUGGACUACCGGCUUCCGGCGAACGGCGGAUUCACCAAAAUUAGGGUUUGUUGUUGAACAAAGACGGUGGAAUUUGGGGCCGAGCAACUUGAUUUUCUGUUAAUAUAUUUCAACGUAUUUUCAUGUAUUUUAUUGUAUUCAUUGUCUUUUUUUUCCAUUGUAAUUCAAUGUAUCUCGUUGUAUUCCAUGUAUUUUAUUGUAUUCACUAUCUUUUUUUUUCAUUGUAUUUCAAUGUAUCCCGUUGUAUUCUAUGUAUUUCAUUGUAUUCAUUCUCUC
RNAcentral lists this long non-coding RNA (7483 nucleotides) under Nicotiana tabacum (common tobacco). RNAcentral describes it as "long non-coding RNA (NTAB_LNC017704)". The record is from RNAcentral. Lineage: Eukaryota; Viridiplantae; Streptophyta; Magnoliopsida; Solanales; Solanaceae.